RNAcentral lists this ribosomal RNA (531 nucleotides) under Ectopseudomonas chengduensis. RNAcentral's name for it is "bacterial SSU rRNA". The record is from RNAcentral. Lineage: Bacteria; Pseudomonadati; Pseudomonadota; Gammaproteobacteria; Pseudomonadales; Pseudomonadaceae.
UGCAAGUCGAGCGGAUGASAGGAGCUUGCUCCUUGAUUUAGCGGCGGACGGGUGAGUAAUGCCUAGGAAUCUGCCUGGUAGUGGGGGAYAACGUUCCGAAAGGAACGCUAAUACCGCAUACGUCCUACGGGAGAAAGCAGGGGACCUUCGGGCCUUGCGCUAUCAGAUGAGCCUAGGUCGGAUUAGCUAGUUGGUGAGGUAAUGGCUCACCAAGGCGACRAUCCGUAACUGGUCUGAGAGGAUGAUCAGUCACACUGGAACUGAGACACGGUCCAGACUCCUACGGGAGGCAGCAGUGGGGAAUAUUGGACAAUGGGCGAAAGCCUGAUCCAGCCAUGCCGCGUGUGUGAAGAAGGUCUUCGGAUUGUAAAGCACUUUAAGUUGGGAGGAAGGGCAUUAACCUAAUACGUUAGUGUUUUGACGUUACCGACAGAAUAAGCACCGGCUCACUUCGUGCCAGCAGCCGMGGUAGUGCGAAGGGGGCAAACKUURAUCCAAAGCGCUGGGCGCGCGCCGCUGCGUACGUGGGUU